CAAACUUGAUGGUGUUUAUGACGUCGAUAUUCGACGUCAUAAACACCAAACUUGAUGGUGUUUAUGACGUCGAAUAUCGACGUCAUAAACACCCAAC
This 97-nucleotide microRNA precursor is filed under the name Paramuricea clavata. The record is from RNAcentral. Lineage: Eukaryota; Metazoa; Cnidaria; Anthozoa; Malacalcyonacea; Plexauridae.